AACGAACGCUGGCGGCAUGCCUAACACAUGCAAGUCGAACGAAACCUUCGGGUCUAGUGGCGCACGGGUGCGUAACGCGUGGGAACCUGCCCUUAGGUUCGGAAUAACUCCCCGAAAGGGGUGCUAAUACCGGAUAAUGUCUUCGGCCCAAAGAUUUAUCGCCUUUGGAUGGGCCCGCGUUGGAUUAGCUAGUUGGUAGGGUAAAAGCCUACCAAGGCGACGAUCCAUAGCUGGUCUGAGAGGAUGAUCAGCCACACUGGGACUGAGACACGGCCCAGACUCCUACGGGAGGCAGCAGUGGGGAAUAUUGGACAAUGGGCGAAAGCCUGAUCCAGCAAUGCCGCGUGAGUGAUGAAGGCCUUAGGGUUGUAAAGCUCUUUUACCCGGGAUGAUAAUGACAGUACCGGGAGAAUAAGCUCCGGCUAACUCCGUG
RNAcentral lists this ribosomal RNA (433 nucleotides) under uncultured bacterium. Its description in RNAcentral is "partial 16S ribosomal RNA". It matches the Rfam family "Bacterial small subunit ribosomal RNA", at positions 29 to 507 of the family's 1533-position model. The record is from RNAcentral.